UGUUUCUCUGCAAAUGGAACUCAAAUAUCCUUUGGGUUGACUACACAGAGAACAGAAGAAAAGAACUGGAAGAAACUUGGACCAGAGAUCCUCUCCCUGGAAAGGUUUCUUUCUGGCGGGAUUAUGUGAGAACAAAUGACAUCAGAAAAUAGCACGUCGGGAUACUUAUGCCAGCUCCAUAUGGCCCGGCUUGCUUUCACAGGUAUUUAAUUAAUUCAACAAAUAUUUAUUGAAUCCCUAUCAUGCGUGGGGUACUAUUUUAGGCACUGGAGGUACAGUAGCCAACGAAGCAGAUCUGCUCCCAUGGCACAUACAUUCCAGAGGGAGAAAGAACCAACCAACAAAUGAUCAGAAAAUAUUAUUGUAAAAUGUCAGGUAGCCAUCGCUGCUCAGAAGAAAAGUGAAGCAAGAGAGAAUGGGGUAGAGGGUGUGGGGUGACAUUUUAGACAGUGGCGUUUUGCAAAGGCCACUCUGAGGUGGUGACAUUUGAGCAGAGGCUUAAAUGAAGUGACCUGUAUGUUGAAUCCAGGAAACCAAUUGUAUGUAUUUUUGAGGGGGGGUGGCCAAGAAUACCUACUGAAAAGGUUAGGAAGUUAUUUUGGUUCAAAGAUGCUCAGUUUAAAUAACCAUAAAAACAUGGCUUUCUUGCAUCCCACAAUGUGGCACUUUUAGUGGCAAUUUGGAGAGAGCUCCGAACAUUUUCUUGGAGAUUUUCUGGUGUGUGUAGCAUAGUAACCAGUGUGUAUUCUGCUGUCUUUCUGGCUUGACCUCUUUUUACUUGCUAGCAAGAAGCAGAAGCUGAAGGAUUUUAUACCAGUCAGCCUGGGCAGAAAAUUACAGAGAAGAGGAGGUGAAGUCAGAAAAAUAAGAUAUGAGAAAGAAAGGCACAAUCCAAGAAUGAUUAGCACUGGACUGGAAAGAGUUUUGAGAUGAAACCUCAGAUUUUUUACCACUCAAGUUCUAAAAAGAGAGACAGUAGUAAUUUUGAAGAAAUGGUGGUGGGAAUUGCUUCAGCAAAAGCUGAAGUCAGUGAAGAAAGUAAGAGGAUUGCAAGGUUUCCUUGCUGGUUCUGCCAAUUGAAAUGCUUUUAUCGUGCUGCUGUUUGGCUAAUUUCCAUGGAGACUCCACCGUAUUUGGCUUUGCCUUUCUCUGCCUUUCAGAGGACUUGGAUCUAGACUGACCAUAGCAUCAGGUAUCUCUCAGAUUUUUGUACAAUUCAUUUCUCAUUUUCCACAUUCAAGUUUGGAGUUAUUCAUUUUUUUAAAGAUUUUAUUUAUUUAUUCAUGAGAAGCACAGAGAGAGAGAGAGAGAGAGAGAGAGAGAGAGGCAGAGACACAGGCAGUGGGAGAAGCAAAGCAGGCUCCACGCAGGUAGCCAGAUGCGGGACUCGAUCCCAGGACUCCAGAAUCACCCCCUGAGCCAAAGCUGAUGCUUAACUGUUGAACCACCCAGGUGUCCCAAGUUUGGAGUUGUUCAAAUAAUUAUUUUGCUAUCUUUGAAACCAUCAAUCUUGUAAUCACUGUACAUUUUCCAUGUGCCCAUCACGUUGGUCAGUACCACUGCAUUGUGUUGGUUUGUUCUUGCCAUGGUCAGAUUGACAUAUAAAUUUGUCAAAGUAAAAUUAUGUUCACCAAAAGAAGAAAGAUUUUCAAAAUUGAUUCAGGUCAUUAGGUCAUUGAUUGGUCUGGCAAGCCUCUGUUGAACUUGCAGUGUAUAAAAAUUUAAUUAUUAUAAUUACAAUAUUAUAAAAGUUUGCAGAUUUUGCUAAUAGCUGUAAUUUCUCAAGUGAGAAAGCUACCGAUUAUUUAUCAUCUCUAAGUAAAUUCAAAUCUCUGGCCAAGGAAAUUAGAGCCUUGUGUUAGGUAGAGUUCCUCCAGGUAAAAUGCUAUGAUCUUUUUAAGAAACUAUGGAACCGGAGGCAGUGGACUAGAGCCAGGCAAAUGC
Long non-coding RNA from Vulpes vulpes (red fox), 1944 nucleotides. NCBI's taxonomy places the organism in Eukaryota, Metazoa, Chordata, Mammalia, Carnivora, Canidae. The record is from Ensembl.